Molecule: transfer RNA, 72 nt
Filed under: Lineus longissimus
Lineage: Eukaryota; Metazoa; Nemertea; Pilidiophora; Heteronemertea; Lineidae
Also listed under: 1 other name
Description: misc RNA ENSLLNG00015026379.1
Rfam family: tRNA
About the family: Transfer RNA (tRNA) molecules are approximately 80 nucleotides in length. Their secondary structure includes four short double-helical elements and three loops (D, anti-codon, and T loops).
Source: RNAcentral
GGGGAUGUAGCUCAGUGGUAGAGCGCUCGCUUUGCAUGCGAGAGGCCCCGGGUUCAAUCCCCGGCAUCUCCA